This 429-nucleotide ribosomal RNA is filed under the name uncultured bacterium. RNAcentral's name for it is "partial 16S ribosomal RNA". It matches the Rfam family "Bacterial small subunit ribosomal RNA", at positions 29 to 505 of the family's 1533-position model. The record is from RNAcentral.
AACGAACGCUGGCGGCAGGCUUAACACAUGCAAGUCGAGCGCCUCGCAAGAGGAGCGGCAGACGGGUGAGUAACGCGUGGGAACGUACCCUUAUCUUCGGAAUAGCUCUGGGAAACUGGAAGUAAUACCGAAUGUGCCCUUAGGGGGAAAGAUUUAUCGGAUAAGGAUCGGCCCGCGUUGGAUUAGCUAGUUGGUGGGGUAAAGGCCUACCAAGGCGACGAUCCAUAGCUGAUCUGAGAGGAUGAUCAGCCACAUUGGGACUGAGACACGGCCCAAACUCCUGCGGGAGGCAGCAGGGGGAAAUAUUGGACAAGGGCCGAAAGCCUGAUCCAGCCAUGCCGGGUGAGUGAUGAAGGCUUUGGGGUUGAAAAGCUCUUUCCCCGGAGAAGAUAAGGAGGGUAUCCGAAGAAGAACCCCCGGCUAACUGCG